RNAcentral lists this ribosomal RNA (800 nucleotides) under Dokdonia diaphora. RNAcentral describes it as "bacterial SSU rRNA". It matches the Rfam family "Bacterial small subunit ribosomal RNA", at positions 169 to 969 of the family's 1533-position model. Lineage: Bacteria; Pseudomonadati; Bacteroidota; Flavobacteriia; Flavobacteriales; Flavobacteriaceae. The record is from RNAcentral.
CCCCAUAGUAUGUUUGAAUGGCAUCAUUUAGGCAUUAAAGUUUCGGCGGUAUAAGAUGACUAUGCGUUCUAUUAGUUUGUUGGUAAGGUAACGGCUUACCAAGACUACGAUAGAUAGGGGUCCUGAGAGGGAGAUCCCCCACACUGGUACUGAGACACGGACCAGACUCCUACGGGAGGCAGCAGUGAGGAAUAUUGGACAAUGGAGGCAACUCUGAUCCAGCCAUGCCGCGUGUAGGAAGACUGCCCUAUGGGUUGUAAACUACUUUUAUAUGGGAAGAAUAAGGUCUACGUGUAGACUGAUGACGGUACCAUAAGAAUAAGCACCGGCUAACUCCGUGCCAGCAGCCGCGGUAAUACGGAGGGUGCAAGCGUUAUCCGGAAUCAUUGGGUUUAAAGGGUCCGUAGGCGGGCAUAUAAGUCAGUGGUGAAAGUCUGUGGCUCAACCAUAGAAUUGCCAUUGAUACUGUAUGUCUUGAAUUAUUGUGAAGUGGUUAGAAUAUGUAGUGUAGCGGUGAAAUGCUUAGAGAUUACAUAGAAUACCGAUUGCGAAGGCAGAUCACUAACAAUAUAUUGACGCUGAUGGACGAAAGCGUAGGUAGCGAACAGGAUUAGAUACCCUGGUAGUCUACGCCGUAAACGAUGGAUACUAGUUGUUUGGUCUUCGGACUGAGUGACUAAGCGAAAGUGAUAAGUAUCCCACCUGGGGAGUACGUUCGCAAGAAUGAAACUCAAAGGAAUUGACGGGGGCCCGCACAAGCGGUGGAGCAUGGUGUUUAAUUUCGAUGAUACGCGAGGAAC